UUUCAACUUCAGGAUUUUAUGAUACUGUCUUACUUUGCAAGCAUAAUAAUUCUGAUUUUUCAAUACCUUCAGUAUAUUUGGAUAAAAGGCUCCAUGAAUGUCAUCACAGAGGAACAAGCUUUCCGUGGAAAAGGCAUUUGAGCAGUAUGUCAGAGACUCUAUUCUGCAGUGACAACUGGUUUCAGAAUAGUUGUUCAAGAGUGUCAAUGAUAGAAAGUGG
Long non-coding RNA from Lemur catta (Ring-tailed lemur), 220 nucleotides. RefSeq lists it as uncharacterized. Lineage: Eukaryota; Metazoa; Chordata; Mammalia; Primates; Lemuridae. The record is from RefSeq and is a predicted model, not a curated record. The transcript has 3 exons.